UACGUGAGGGGCGAACGUUGUUCGGAAUUACUGGGCGUAAAGGGCGCGUAGGCGGUCUUGCAAGUCCUGUGUGAAAUCCCUCGGCUCAACUGAGGAACUGCACAGGAAACUGCUUGGCUUGAGUUCGGGAGAGGGAAGCGGAAUUCCGGGUGUAGCGGUGAAAUGCGUAGAUAUCCGGAGGAACACCGGUGGCGAAGGCGGCUUCCUGGACCGACACUGACGCUGAGGCGCGAAAGCGUGGGGAGCAAACAGG
This 253-nucleotide ribosomal RNA is filed under the name uncultured bacterium. Its description in RNAcentral is "partial 16S ribosomal RNA". It matches the Rfam family "Bacterial small subunit ribosomal RNA", at positions 524 to 776 of the family's 1533-position model. The record is from RNAcentral.